Molecule: ribosomal RNA, 346 nt
Filed under: uncultured bacterium
Lineage: Bacteria
Description: bacterial SSU rRNA
Rfam family: Bacterial small subunit ribosomal RNA
Source: RNAcentral
GGAAACGACUGCUAAUACCGCAUAAGCCCACGGGGUCGGCAUCGACCAGAAGGGGAAAAAGGAGCAAAUCCGCUUUUGAGAUGGCCUCGCGUCCGAUUAGCUAGUUGGUGAGGUAAUGGCCCACCAAGGCGACGAUCGGUAGCCGGACUGAGAGGUUGAACGGGCCACAUUGGGACUGAGACACGGCCCAGACUCCUACGGGAGACAGCAGUGGGGAGUAUUGCACAAUGGGGGAAACCCUGAUGCAGCGACGCCGCGUGGAGGAAGAAGGUCUUCGGAUUGUAAACUCCUGUUGUUGAGGAAGAUAAUGACGGUACUCAACAAGGAAGUGACGGCUAACUACGUG